AAAAGACUAAUCUAUGUCAAUAUCUAACUGAUGGAGGUUCACUACCUCAAAAACUUGUACGGGUGACUUUUGAUCAAUUUUUCUCAUACUACACCUCAACUUUUUGAGUUGACGCUAAAUGACAACGAUACUUGUGAGUGGCAUGAAAAUAUCGACUUUGUUGAACUAAGAGGUUGGCAUAGAGAUUUUCUUGCAUGUAUUCAUUGUCACAAAAAGUAAGUUACUUUAUUCUUAUGUUAAAAUUUUAUUUAGAUGUUUGGAGUUCUACUAUUAUAUUUGCUUAACUCAUUAUGUCACACACCAAAAUUAACAAUAUGAUGGUCGACCAAUGAUAUUUAGGGGGUUCAUCACACAAUUAAAGUUUGGAAUCUUUUAAGACUAUCAUAUGAAGAUUAUGCUCAGGUACCAUGGGUUUUGUUUUCUAGAACAACUGGGACAGCAUGAGUUGAGUUGUAGUUUCAUUCUCAUAUGAAGUCUACUCGUAUUUAGAGAAACACGAGAAGAAGAUGAGGUUGGCGAGAAGGCAAUUGUUUUAUUUUGUCCAGUUUAAAGCGUAUAAAUAUAUUGCAUUAGAAAAUGCUCAUGCUAAGCAUUUUAUUGAUGGAGACUUUCUCUAGUCUUAUAUGUAUUUAUCUACGGUAGAGAAACAUCAAUGUUAUAACAGCACUGAAGUCAAUACUUAAAUAUCUCCCCAUGUUUCAUUAGUGGGUGAGUUCAUUGUAUUUUGAAGCGUCUGCAUAUAUGAAUAUAUAUUAAUACUAGAUCAUGACUCUACGCUACAACAUGUAUUAAA
Molecule: small RNA, 793 nt
Filed under: Arabidopsis thaliana (thale cress)
Lineage: Eukaryota; Viridiplantae; Streptophyta; Magnoliopsida; Brassicales; Brassicaceae
Description: ATSL215770
Source: RNAcentral